RNAcentral lists this transfer RNA (72 nucleotides) under Ictidomys tridecemlineatus (thirteen-lined ground squirrel). RNAcentral describes it as "Spermophilus tridecemlineatus (thirteen-lined ground squirrel) tRNA". It matches the Rfam family "tRNA". From Rfam's summary of the family: Transfer RNA (tRNA) molecules are approximately 80 nucleotides in length. Their secondary structure includes four short double-helical elements and three loops (D, anti-codon, and T loops). Lineage: Eukaryota; Metazoa; Chordata; Mammalia; Rodentia; Sciuridae. The record is from Rfam by way of RNAcentral.
UGGGGUGUAGCUCAGUUGAAGAGCACUUGUCUAGCAAGUGCAAGGCCCUGGGUUCAACCCCUAGUACUACAA